This 443-nucleotide long non-coding RNA is filed under the name Zostera marina. RNAcentral's name for it is "long non-coding RNA (ZMAR_LNC003697)". The record is from RNAcentral. Lineage: Eukaryota; Viridiplantae; Streptophyta; Magnoliopsida; Alismatales; Zosteraceae.
CCAAUGAAUGUUUUUGAAGAAAAUGUGGAAUUGGAUGACGAGGGAAACAAGAAAUUCAAAUGACAUCCAUUAACCACUGAAGAAGAAAAAAACAAGCCCAUUGAUGAGACCAAAAUCAAAUGAUCCGGCUUGGAAAUAUGGGGUUGUGGUGAAUAAAGACUCAAACAAGGUGAAGUGUCUUUUCUGCCAUUUCAUUUCGAAAGCGGGGAUUGCUUGGUUGAAAGGGCAUAUCAUUGGAGGCGACCGCAAUUGCGUGAAGUGUCUAAGAUCAACAAAAUUUGUUCGAAAUGAAGUGCUUCAGUAUGAGAAUACGAGGAAGGCUAAAACAAUGGCAAUGAAAAUGUCUAAGAAAGUUGUGGACGAAGAAUCUGAUGAUGAUGAUGUAUUGAUAGUUGAAGAUGAUUCUUCACUUCCGAAGAGAGCAAAGAAGCGGUCAACUAUUG